Non-coding RNA from Cyanistes caeruleus (blue tit), 5713 nucleotides. The record is from RefSeq and is a predicted model, not a curated record. Lineage: Eukaryota; Metazoa; Chordata; Aves; Passeriformes; Paridae.
GGAAUGGAAAUGAGUGAACUUCUAAGGUUUCAAAAAAAGCCUCCUCAGCGUGGGGGAGCCUGUAACUGCAUCUCUUUGUUGUGCAGGUCUGGUGCUGCGUGGGUCACUGUGGACAAAUGUGCUCUGGCUUGCACUGGGAGCCGGUCUGGAGCCCUCGGUGUGUCAGCAGCAUUGCCUGGGGGCACGCAGGGUGGGGGCUGCACUGCUUAGGAAAACUGAUAUUUGUGCCUAGGAGAUGGCUCUGGAGAUGCCACUGGCAGCAAAAACUGGUACUUCCUUCACGAGUUUAAAGCAUAAGGGAGAUUUUUGGUUUUUUUCCUUUAUUAAGACCACAGUAAAAACUCCACAUUACAAUCCUGAAUUGAACACAGCCUGUUCCUUCAGUCCUACUCUGGCAGCCUUACAGCUGCAGCACAAAUGGAGUUAAAAGCCAGACACUGUGUCUGAAACCCCCCAAAACCCCAAGGCAGGCUGAGCACUGGGACAGGAUGGGGGUAAAAGCCUGUGGAGCUUUGUGUGCCAUUGAACUGUGAGCAGUGGGACGGUCAGGCUUGAUAUGAGUCACUGAUUUCAAUUCCUGUUGGGGGGAUUCUGUCAGAGCACUCUGCAGUGUCUGUUUUAGCAUGGUGACCAUUGGAGGUGUGCUCAGAUAUUCCUGCUGUGGUUCCCCCGCCUGUGAUCCCCCUCUGCUCGGCUGAAAUUGCUCUCACUUGCCUGGAGUCACCCAGUUUUCCUCCACCUUUGCUCCCAGGAGAGUUCCUGGGCCAAGCCCCAGCCUGUUUGUGGGGCACAGGAACUGCUGAAGCUCUGGAUCCUAUGGGGGGUUCCAGAUUUCACAGGGAACAGUGGGGUGAAGCUGGGCAAACUCCCACAGGGGAAGAAAAGCUCUGCAUUUACGUGGCUGAGGUCAGGGAAGGGCAGUAGGAACAAAAACUCCUCAGAUUUAGCGAGCAGCGCAUUGCAAAACUCGCUCCACUCGAACAAAUGAUCCACCUAAGCAGCUGCAACCUGAAAGGCCAUUUUCUGUUCCUAACUCCUGUACCUAAGCAUCCCUUUAGAAUGUAAAGUACUGAUUGCAGGGCUGGAAAGCUCUCACAGGGAGAUGAUUGUUGUGAUUUGUACAGUCAGUUCAGGAACACGGUGUUCCCCCAACACCACCGCUCCUGCUCCUCCAGGUAAUGGCAAGGGAAGCCAUAUUUUCCUUUUGUGUCAUUCAAGAGACAAAAGAAUGUCCUGAGCCAGGGAGGAGCAUGAGGAAACAAACCCAGCCAGAUGUUCACUGAAGUAUAACCUGCCUUUAAACCAGACAAACCAACAAAUCUUGGGUUUAACACUACCUGCAGUACAAGGACCUGGCAAAACAGGCUGGAAAAAAAGCACUGACCAAGCACUCCUGGCUGCCUCCCCCAAGCACACGAGCUGCUGGUCUGUCCCUGUUCCCAGGAUUUCCAUCAUCCCAUCCCUGGAACACCACUGUGUGUCCAAGAAGUUUGGGAAGGCUUUGAGCUGGGUUCCCAAAUGCAAACCCAGUGGCUGCUGUCGGACUCCUGGGCGCCGUGAGUGUUUGUGGGGGGAGCUGGAGAGAUGAGCUUCCCGCAGAAAUAGCUCUUCCUUGGAAAGCUGGAGGGCUGAAUCACAGUGUGUUGGCUCGGUUCUGAGCAGACGAGCCAUCACAUCUGCCUCCCUGCAGGCGAGGAGGUGGCACUGGCAGGGGGAUUGGAAGGAGGCUCUGUCCCUUUGGGAGAGCAGGGAACGAUGAUGAUGAUGAUGAUGAUGAUGAUGAUGAUGAUGAUGGGGAAGGUGAGCAGGGUCAGGCUGCCCAGGGCUGGGGGCUCUGGCUCUGCUCUCCCUGUGGCCACAGAACAUGCCCCAAGCUUUGGGGACUGAAUAAGUUCUUUUGCUCAGAAGCAUUAACCACUGAGCUGAGGCAGCCAGAGCCAGCCCAGAGCAUUUCCAUGGCUGGGUUUGUCCUGAGACAGCUGAAAAUACCGGUGAGAUGGGCAAAUAGGAACACCAGGGAAACAUGGGGAAACCUGGGAGGGCACAAGGCAACUCCUGGGCUGAGCUAUCUGAAACUGAAAGCACCUGAGAGACAGCCCUGGCUUGAGAGGCCCUGGGGAGCCUGCAGAGUCCACCUGAUAGCUACAGAAAUGCAAAUAUUCACAGAGGUUUUCUUCCUAGAAAAGAGUGUGAGUCCUUAAAUACACAUUCCUAGCAGUCCAGAGGAAGUCUUGGGGGGAAAAGGGGAUGAGGGAACUAGUGGAAAGUUUCUGGAGCCAGCAAGGAAACAAAUGAUGGAUUUUAAAAUUUUUCCAGAGACACGGGAUUUUUUUGGAGCUGCAGUUUUGGGCUCAGUGCCCCCGCUGCUGCAGUAAUGUUAAUUCUCAAGCCUCCCCUCCAGGUUCAGGCAUGGGCACAGUUGCAAGAGAAGUAGAUUGGGAGUUCCUGAACCAACUGGUUGCUGACCAUGAGUCAGGGGAAUGACCUUGCAGCAGGCGGCUCGCGGUGCCGCUCUCGGAGCCGAGCCAGGAUAAACGGCACUGGCAUCUCUGAGUGCUGGUGGAACCAUUUUGUGACAUUCCAGCUUGGCCUUUUCUACUGCUGCCUUUGCACCGAAAUUGUUUGGGUGGGUGGGAAUGGGAUAGAGUAUUCCCCUUUUUCCUCACAGCCUGGGCUUGGGACUGUCUGUAAACAGAGAUAAAGAGGCUGUGGACAACUCCUAUCUCUUGCCUUCAUCCUCGUCCAUUAAAAUCAGCAUUACAGAUAUUUAACCAAAUUAAAUCUUACUCUCCCCCCAAGCCAUACCCAUAUUAAACUGUAAGAAAACACCAUGAUAAAGUUUUAAAAAUCCUAAGCAGCAGCACUGAAUUUUCUGGAUAGGUCUGGGAGAGAUUUGUCGGAGGAGAGAGGGUAGAACACUUGGCAUUUUGACGUUUUAAUGAAUGUUCCCAAAUAAGAAAAGAAAAACAUUUGCUUGUAGACUUUAAGCUUCUCACAGCACCAGAAAGCUCCUGACACAGAGCCCAAUGCUGUAUUUGUAUAACAUGGAAAUGAACAGCAGCAGCAGCAGCGCUGCAGGCUCCGAGCCUGCUCUGCGAGCAGCAAAAUGGCCAGGGGUGCUGGGGCUCAUCCGAAUUCCUUCAUCAUCUGGGGAGGUCACUGGGUGGGUCUGAUACCUCUGACCCUCCAGGUGUGGUUCAAACUCUAACAUCAAUGUGAAAUGAAUGUUUCUAACCAUAUUCAAGCUUGUGCCCCCAUCAGCUCCACUCCCUAAAGCACCGACAGGAACCAACAGCAAAAUUCGUCUGCGUCACAGAUGUAACAUGACCAUCGGCAAAACAAGUGCAGGGGGAGAUCACGGCUCUCUCGUCCCUCACAGAGCCUCCCUUCUCCAGCAGACAACAAGAGGUAAUGCUUUCAAAUUUAUAUUAUGGGCACGUGAAAUCCUACCCUUCCUUCCCCGAGUGCCACGGUCCCCGGAACGCCCGAGAAAACUGCGCGUGUUUUGUCGGCGUGGUAGCGAUCGCUGCGUCACGAUGCUGCACCAGGGCCGAGGCAGAGCAAACCCCACUCCCCAGAGCAGGGAAACCCAGAUACAGGAAAAUGAAUCAGCUCACACGGUGCCACACACACACGAGUGGCAGAAGGAGGGAGAAAUCACAGCUUUCCCCAGUCCUUUUGCGGCACCGUGCAGAAAACGAGCCCGGAGCAGUUACCCAGGUACAGCUCACAGUGACAGUGGCACAAAAGCACUGCUGUCCUACAGAAAUAUGCCAUGUCCCCUUCUUAGCCUUGUUUCCUGCCAGUCCUGCAGAUUUACCUGCUGCCAGUAACCUCAAUUCCUGAGUAAUGAGAUUUACAGCUGAAGUUUAACAUUGAAAUAACUCCUCUUUUAUCCGUCUCCUUACCCUCCCUGCGUUUGGGCGCAGUUUGGCCAAAACAUGGUGGCAAAAGGAAUCAAAUCCAUGCUGAACACACUCAGCAGCCAGUGGCACCUCCUUGAAAGCCAUGAAACAGCACUAGCUUUACAAAGUAAGGGCUUCUCCACCCCACAGCUAUGGUGGGGAAAACUGCAAAGAGCUGUCCACGCAACCAACGCUGGGGAAAACAGACACAACCCACCCAUCAUCCACACAACCCAGCACCGUGCCUUAGUCCUGGCUGUACAAACCCCCCUCCACAGCUGCCUGGGACUGUUCUCCUGUGUGUGUGUGUAUGUAUUUAUGCCUGUCUGUCUGGCUGCAGGGACCACCUUCGUCGCUGCUGUUCCCGUUGUUCCCCUGCUCUGCGGAUCUGGCGCUGCGGGAGGCGAGGAUGCUCCGAGGGAGCCAGCCACAGCCAGCGGAGGCUCAAGCCCCCUGCAGAGGCCAGGCUGCAGCCCUGGCGAUGGGGACGGCGGCCACGCGGUGCCCGAGCCGGUGCUGAGCCCAGCGGUUGUUGCUAAACAACCAACCCUGACUCUGGAGAUGUCAGCCAGCAAGGAACAGAGAUUAAACACUCCUGCUAGCACAUCCUGAAACUUGGACCCAUCACCGAGGGCAGUCUCCAUCUCUCUGUGAGGUUACAGAGCCCGUGGCAAACUCACACUUGUGCCAACAAAAGCUGAGUUUGGGUAAGAGUCGUUUUCAUUUCUUUAACUAUUCCCACGACACGAUUUCCAGGUGCGGUCCCUGCCCCAAGCAACUCACAGUGCUGCCAACACUCCAGCACCUCACAGGGGAGGAGGAAGCGAGGAGAAAAGCCCCGAAGGCCGGUUCUGUCCCCCGCACCGAGAGCUGCAGCUCUGACACGUCAUCGUCACGACCGGACAGCGGAACGAGACCGAGCGCCCGUGGGCCAGGGGCUGCACCCAGCACAGGCAGCAGGGACCAGCUCAGACCCCCUGAGAGCACCCAUGGGCCAGGGGCUGCACCCAGCACAGGCAGCAGGGACCAGCUCCUGUCCUGCCCGAGGGACAUCCCGGGAUCCCAGGUGGGCACGGAGCGAGCGGCGGGCAGGGAACGGAGUGGGAAGGGAGCAGGGAGCAGGCAGGGAAUGGGCAGGGAGAACUGAGGGAACGCGCAGGGAGCAGGCAGAGAAGGGCAGGGAGCAGGGGAGCAGACAGGGAACAGACAAGGAGCAGGCAGGGAAUGGGCAGCAGUGGGCAGAGGGCAGCUCGGUGCUGGCAAUGCCACAUGGGCACUCCGGCUGACACCCCCAGGCAGGGAGCAGGCAGGGAACAGGGAGCAGGCAGGGAACAGGGAACAGGCAGGGAAUAGGGAGCAGGCAGGGAAUAGGGAGCAGGCAGUGGCAGAGGGCAGCCCGGCGCUCACACGACCCCUGUGCUGACACUUGGCAGGCAGGGAAUGGGAAGCAGGGAAUAAGGAGCAGGAAGCAGGGAAUAAGGAGCAGGAAGCAGGGAAUAGGGAGCAGGCAGUGGCAGUGGCAGUGGCAGUAUCAUGGGCAGGGGCAGGAGAAGGGGCAGUGGCAGUGUCAUGGGCAGUAGCAGCAGCAAGGCCAGCCCCACUCACACAGUCACAGCUGACACCUGAGAGCAGGGAGCAGUGUCGGGGGCAGGAGAAGGGGCAGUGUCAGGGGCAGAAGGGACAGUGUCUCUGUCAGGGGCAGGAGAAGGGGCAGUGUCCCUGUCACUAUCACGGGCAGUGUCCCUGUCACCAGCAGUGUGACGGGCAGUGUCAGGGCAGUGUCCCUGUCCCGGGCAGUGUCACUGUCA